RNAcentral lists this small nuclear RNA (168 nucleotides) under Sphenodon punctatus (tuatara). Its description in RNAcentral is "U1 spliceosomal RNA (ENSSPUG00000005322.1)". It matches the Rfam family "U1 spliceosomal RNA". From Rfam's summary of the family: U1 is a small nuclear RNA (snRNA) component of the spliceosome (involved in pre-mRNA splicing). Its 5' end forms complementary base pairs with the 5' splice junction, thus defining the 5' donor site of an intron. Lineage: Eukaryota; Metazoa; Chordata; Lepidosauria; Sphenodontia; Sphenodontidae. The record is from Rfam by way of RNAcentral.
AUACUUACCUGGCAGGGGAGCCAUUUCCCAUGAUUAUGUAGAUGGGGCUUCCAGGGUGAGGCACAUCCAUUGCACUCUGGAUGCGCUGACCCUUGUGAUUUCCCCAAAUGCGGGAAACUUGACUGCAUAAUUUGUGGUAGUGGGGGACUGCAUUCGUGCUCUUCCCUG